Molecule: long non-coding RNA, 977 nt
Organism: Mauremys reevesii (Reeves's turtle)
Lineage: Eukaryota; Metazoa; Chordata; Testudines; Geoemydidae
Exons: 6
Source: RefSeq, a predicted model, not a curated record
CCAGUUUCCUGUUAUGGGCUAUGCUACUAAUUAGUGAAUGAAUAAAUACCAGUCAAACUCGGAUAAUUUGAGGUCUCUCUAAUUUAUAAAAAGACUGAAUUGGAAACAAGUCAGAAUAUGACAUUCUCCCUAUUUCCAUUGUUCGGUUUCAUUCCCUUGGUGGCUGUGAUGUCAUAAACCCAUUAGGACCAACAGUCACCUUGGGUUUGAGUGGGAAAACAUCCCCCUACACACCCUUCUGAACCCUCAGAAUGAAACUGCCCAAAUCAUUUCUCUUUCUACAGGAAAAAAUCCAGGCCCAAUUGAAGACUCUGAGGGAAGAGAGAGAAAAGCUCCUGAGAUUUAAAUACACUGGAGAGAGGAAAAGCCGGGGGUAUCUGAAACAGAUACAAGAGGAGAGGCAGAAAAUUGUUUCUGAAUUUCAGCAACUGAGGCAGUUCCUGGAGGAACAGGAGCGACUCCUGCUGCUCUGGCUGGAAAAGCUGGACAAGGAGAUAGUGAAGAUACGGAAUGAAAAUAUCACCAAACUCUCUGAGCAGAUUUCCAUCUCAGUGAGCUGAUCAGUGAGCUGGAGGAAGUGUCAGAAACCAGCAAGUGAAUUCCUGCAGGAUGUCAGAUGCACCUUGAGCAGGUGUAAGAAGGAGAAGUUCCAGCAGCCAGUGGACAUUUCUCCUGAACUGGAAGUGAGACUCAACUAUUUCUCUCAGAAAACUGUUGCCCUAAUGGAGAUUCUGAGGAAAUUCAAAGACACUCUGCCGUCUGCACUAGAGACAACAAAAGCGGGAUCCCUAGGAGCACACACACAGGCGAAUGUGACUCUGGAUCCAGACACGGCUCAUCCCAACCUUGUCUUGUCUGAGGAUUUGAGAAGUGUAAAGUGGGAAGAAAUACAGCAGGAUCUGCCUGACAACCCUGAGAGAUUUGACACUGAGCCCUCCGUGCUGGGCUGGGAGGGAUUCACCUUGGGGAGACAUUGC